This 253-nucleotide ribosomal RNA is filed under the name uncultured bacterium. Its description in RNAcentral is "partial 16S ribosomal RNA". It matches the Rfam family "Bacterial small subunit ribosomal RNA", at positions 524 to 776 of the family's 1533-position model. The record is from RNAcentral.
UACAGAGGGGGCAAGCGUUGUUCGGAAUUACUGGGCGUAAAGGGCGCGUAGGCGGCCCGCUAAGUCGAACGUGAAAUCCCCGAGCUCAACUCGGGAACUGCGUCCGAUACUGGCGGGCUUGAAUCCGGGAGAGGGAUGCGGAAUUCCAGGCGUAGCGGUGAAAUGCGUAGAUAUCUGGAGGAACACCGGUGGCGAAGGCGGCAUCCUGGACCGGCAUUGACGCUGAGGCGCGAAAGCUAGAGGAGCAAACGGG